AUACGUAGGGGGCGAGCGUUGUCCGGAAUGAUUGGGCGUAAAGGGCGCGUAGGCGGCCUGUUAAGUCUGGAGUGAAAGUCCUGUUUUCAAGAUGGGAAUUGCUUUGGAUACUGAUGGGCUUGAGUGCAGGAGAGGUUAUCGGAAUUCCCGGUGUAGCGGUGAAAUGCGUAGAGAUCGGGAGGAACACCAGUGGCGAAGGCGGGUAACUGGACUGCAACUGACGCUGAGGCGCGAAAGUGUGGGGAGCAAACAGGAUUAGAUACCCUGGUAGUCCACGCCGUAAGCGAUGGAUACUAGGUGUAGGGGGUAUCGACUCCCUCUGUGCCGCAGUUAACACAAUAAGUAUUCCGCCUGGGGAGUACGGCCGCAAGGUUGAAACUCAAAGGAAUUGACGGGG
Molecule: ribosomal RNA, 397 nt
Filed under: uncultured bacterium
Lineage: Bacteria
Description: partial 16S ribosomal RNA
Rfam family: Bacterial small subunit ribosomal RNA
Source: RNAcentral